Molecule: non-coding RNA, 159 nt
Organism: Vibrio coralliilyticus
Lineage: Bacteria; Pseudomonadati; Pseudomonadota; Gammaproteobacteria; Vibrionales; Vibrionaceae
Source: Rfam
GCAAUCUCGGAGGUGAGUCGCAAAAAGACAUUCUGGGGGAUACGCGUAGUGAGCAUUCAGGCUGAGUGAACACUCCGUAGGGUAGGUAUCGGCAAGUCCUUUUGUCGAUAGACGGGAUACUGUUGUCGCUGUAGCGGCAUGUUUAUGGGAAACCCAACA